RNAcentral lists this long non-coding RNA (262 nucleotides) under Elaeis guineensis (African oil palm). Its description in RNAcentral is "long non-coding RNA (EGUI_LNC000889)". Lineage: Eukaryota; Viridiplantae; Streptophyta; Magnoliopsida; Arecales; Arecaceae. The record is from RNAcentral.
CGCUGUCUAUUGCUCAUUCCCCACCACCAACAUCAUCCUCCCUUUCUCUUCCUCCAACUUCUCCACCCCAAGCUCAGCCCGGCACCGACUCCGAACCUUCCAACCCCUCCCAAUCUUCAUCACCACCUCCCGCUUCCAAUGCACCUUCCAACCCCUCCCAAUCUUCAUCACCACCUCCCGCUUCCAAUGCACCUUCCAACCCCUCCCAAUCUUCAUCACCACCUCCCGCUUCCAAUGCACCUCCCCCUUCGUCUCCUCAGCC